RNAcentral lists this non-coding RNA (30 nucleotides) under Rattus norvegicus (Norway rat). Lineage: Eukaryota; Metazoa; Chordata; Mammalia; Rodentia; Muridae. The record is from RNAcentral.
UAAAUUACCAACCCAAAAGACGCCCAAGAG